AAUGAUCGAAAUUAUUAACGACGUUGCAAUCUCAUCUCAAACAGGCAGGCGAUCAUGUUGAGAAACUUUAUCGGAAUUGUGUGUAUUUAAAUCUGAAAAUCGAGGAGGAUGAAUUUGAAGAUUGUAAGAAACCCAAUGUUCUGGCUUUAGAUUGCGCAUUUCGAUACUCCAUCUCGGUAUGGAAUCCCACGACACCAAAGAUAACGAAGACGAUGAUGACUUCUUCGACACUCUCGAUGAGUUCCCAUCGGAGGAUUCUUCCGUCACCGAUCAACCUCAACUUUCCACUUCACUUUCCUCCAUUUCCGAUUCUUCUCCCGUACUUGAAACCUCGUCCGAGAAUGAAUUCUCAUCUGUCGCUUCAUUACGCCAUCGCCCCUCUUCUCGCCGUAGAAUGGCAGGCGAGACUCCGAGCUCAGAUUCCUCUAUCAGUUCCCUAACAAGUUCAAUCGACGAUUCGGUGAUGAUGAGCCCCGAAUGGAAAACCCCAGAAAUUCACCCGAAUUUUAUUGACGAUGUAAAGAAACUCGAGGGAUCCGAGGCUUUAUCCGUUCAAGUAAGCUCGUGGGGAGGUUCGAGUAGCGUGAAGGAUGAGAAGAGUGAGGUAUCGACGGUGACUACUGUGGAGACUAAUUCGGGCGGCGAAUUGGGCGUUUCGGAGGCGGAAUCCGGCCAUUCUUCUUCAAACCUACUUAUGUUAAUUGUAGGAUUGCUCAUCAAGGCAAUUGGGGUUCAACUUAGCUUCUUCGUCUACAGUUUCUGCUUUCCCUUGUGGUUUUUAUAUCAUUCUUACACGUUUGUUUUUCAUCCUUUUCAAACAAUUAAGCUUGGGAGAGCAUAUGUGACAGGAAAGUUAUUUGGGUUUUGUGAACUUGUUACUGCUGUGGUCAGUCCUUUGAUAUCUGAACGGUUGAAGGAACCCAAGUCUCUUUGGAAAGCUGGACUCCGCUGUGUGUGGGGCUUUCUGUGGUCGGCUUAUGUUUGUAUCAUUUUGUGUGGUCUCUUGAUUUCGGCGCUUAUAUUUGGUGGGUUUUUGAUGAGGUUCUUAGUUCAGGAGCCUGUUAAGAUCAAAGAAGUACUAAAUUUUGACUAUACCAAACACAGUCCUGAGGCUUAUAUGCCAAUCUUACCUGAUUCAGAUGUUCUUUAUGGUCGGAAUUGUAAAGAAAAUGUCGUAAGUGGGAAGACCCAGUCGCGUGUUAUUCCUCAUCAUCAUCAUUUGCAGGCCAUUGUCUCACUAACAUUGCCAGAGUCUGAAUAUAACAGAAAUCUUGGGGUCUUCCAGGUAAGAGUAGACUUUCUUUCUGUAAGUGGUGACGUUCUUGCAAGCUCAAGCCACCCAUGCAUGUUGCAGUUUAAAAGCGAGCCCAUUCGCCUUUUACUGACUAUCCUGAAGCUUGCACCCCUUGUUACGGGCUAUAUAUCAGAGUCCCAGACUCUGAAUCUUAAGCUUAAAGGUCUCGCCGAAGGAAAUGUACCGACAGCCUGUCUGCGGGUUACAAUUGAACAACGAGCAGAGUUCAGUCCUGGUGCUGGUAUACCCGAAAUAUAUGAUGCAUCCUUAAUCCUUGAAUCCGAACUCCCCUUGUUUAAAAGGAUUAUAUGGUAUUGGAGGAAGACUCUCUAUGUCUGGAUUAGCAUGACAUCGUUUAUGAUGCAGUUGCUUUUUAUGCUGGUCUGUUGUCGACCGAUAAUCCUUCCUAGAAUGAGGAUGAGGAGAAGGGAUGAAUCUGCUAAUGUAAGCUCCACGAGGAACGACAUCUAGGCAUGAGUCAAUGGGGAUGAUGAUAAGAGAGCAGAUCAUAUUUAUGACUAUACAGUUCUAGAAGCCAUUUCAACUCGGCUCGAACAACUCAAAGGGCAAUUUCUUGUGGUAACCUACAUUAGACUGAAGUUCUAUGCACUGUUAACCGGGUUUUCAUUGUGUGUAUGAUCUCACCAGGGCUACACAAUUGGGGCGAAAAGAACGUUCAUGUGCAGGAUUCAAAACCUCGAACUUUUAUUUGUCAUCAUCAGAACUUGAAGCUGUGUAACGUGUGCAUUGAUGACAAGAGUUCAUGUGAACUUCUGCGCAACCAUCAUAGUUUGAACUUUUUCUAAUUUAGAUGUGGGAUUCUUAGUUUGGUUCGUGUUCCAACGCGAAUCUAGUUCAUGUGACAUCAAAUACUUGUUCAUUUCCAUAUCUUUUGAUAAUACAGAAGUAGAAAUGCUUGGUAACUGGAAGCUCAUCUAUAGUAAAGUUUAAAGUACAAGAAAGAAAAAAAAAAGAGUCCUUUCGAUAUAACCCCUUUGGUGUCUCAAAAGUUUUCAUGGGGUGACAUGACGACUUUUGAGGAACGAUGCACUUCGAGCAAUCUCUCGUAGAGGCCCCAAGCUUCUGGCUGGAUUCA
Cucurbita maxima (winter squash) is the source of this 2390-nucleotide RNA transcript. It is a transcript of the gene named seipin-2-like, with no coding region annotated. Lineage: Eukaryota; Viridiplantae; Streptophyta; Magnoliopsida; Cucurbitales; Cucurbitaceae. The transcript has 4 exons. The record is from RefSeq and is a predicted model, not a curated record.